This 1191-nucleotide long non-coding RNA is filed under the name Oncorhynchus mykiss (rainbow trout). RNAcentral's name for it is "lncRNA (ENSOMYG00000033578.2)". The record is from RNAcentral. Lineage: Eukaryota; Metazoa; Chordata; Actinopteri; Salmoniformes; Salmonidae.
AUGCUGUGGUGUGCCAUUGUUGCCUCUUUCUGUCUGGUGGUGAAGGGGGCUGUUCGGUGGAAACUGGACACAUUUUUAUCCCACUCAUUUGGUGUUUGGCUGCUGCUCAUGACAUGUACUGUGUUGGUGUUCUGUGAAAUGGAAUUCCGGGAGAGAACGCAGGGUGACUCUAUAGAGUUCUACUGUAUCUCUGAGUUCAAUGCCUCCAAGCCCAUUGGGUUCUACCUGAAACGAAAGUGGCUGCAGCCCAAAAGAGAGGUCCUGUUCAUGUAUACUGAACAUAACCCUGUGUUUCACCCUGACGUCAAAGAGCGCAUCCAUGUCAUGGGAGACCCGAGUAGUCACCGGGUCAACGUGACCCUCAGCCAGCUGAAGGGAACAGACACAGACAUCUACUACUGUGAGUUUGUCUUCCCCGAUUCCUUCAGCUUAGAUCAAAAGAUUCCAAGCAAGAUGGAGUUAUUUCUGUACGUUGUCGAUGCUGAUGCCCCAGACAGCAAGAUGGAUGUAGGCCUAAUAGAGACGUGCGCCGGGGGGUCAGCUGUUCUCCCCUGCCUUGCCCCCUACGGUUCCCCCUCGGCCAUGGAAGGGGUAUGCCUGAAGAGGCGGUGGGGCCGGGCUCCAGUGGAGGUGCUGUUCCACUCAACGCGCCCCUUUUCCUCCGCCUCGUUCCCCCCAGAAGAAAGGCUUCACCUGGGCACGGGGCUGGGCGGCCUGGCCUACAACCUCACCCUGCUAAAGAUGCAGCCGGAAGAGAGCGCCUUUUACAGCUGUGAGCUGCUGCUCCCCGGCAGGCCCGACAACAGUGCCAGGCUAGGGAGACACGUAUACUUUGUUUCUGUGCAAGAUGUUAGGUGUAGCUGUGCGGGUUACGCUCCACUGCUCUAUGCCCUUUCUGCUACUGUGGGGCUGCUACUCAUCUUCGUUAUGGCCCUGGGAGUGGCUCAUUAUGGUAAGACCCGUGUCAAACCGCAGCCCCACCAGGUCUCCAUCUACGAGGAGAUGGUCGGGGUGCGGCCCCCCAACCGGAAUGGAAAAGUGUCCCCCUCUUACCACCCGAGGCCCCCCUUUCAUCUGGAGGAAAAGGAUGCUUCCGCCUAUGACACCCCCCCCCUGAGGUCUCGACAGGAAAACCACUAUGAGAGGCCUGAAGGGGUACCGCUAGUAUCUGAAACUGUUGGGGAGAUGUGA